UACGUAGGGUGCGAGCGUUGUCCGGAUUUACUGGGCGUAAAGAGCUCGUAGGCGGUUUGUCGCGUCGUCUGUGAAAUCCCACGACUCAAUCGUGGGCGUGCAGGCGAUACGGGCAUAACUUGAGUACUGUAGGGGAGACUGGAAUUCCUGGUGUAGCGGUGGAAUGCGCAGAUAUCAGGAGGAACACCGGUGGCGAAGGCGGGUCUCUGGGCAGUAACUGACGCUGAGGAGCGAAAGCGUGGGUAGCGAACAGG
RNAcentral lists this ribosomal RNA (254 nucleotides) under uncultured Tsukamurella sp. RNAcentral describes it as "partial 16S ribosomal RNA". It matches the Rfam family "Bacterial small subunit ribosomal RNA", at positions 524 to 776 of the family's 1533-position model. The record is from RNAcentral. Lineage: Bacteria; Bacillati; Actinomycetota; Actinomycetes; Mycobacteriales; Tsukamurellaceae.